Passer domesticus (house sparrow) is the source of this 253-nucleotide long non-coding RNA. RefSeq lists it as uncharacterized. NCBI's taxonomy places the organism in Eukaryota, Metazoa, Chordata, Aves, Passeriformes, Passeridae. The record is from RefSeq and is a predicted model, not a curated record. The transcript has 3 exons.
AAAAACAGUGAGCAGAAACCUCAAUUGUUACCUCAUCAGAAAGAACACAUGACAACAGGUCAUUAAAACAAGAAAUCCUGGGAAAUAUCUGCUAAGGACUUCCUGGAAAUAGAGUGACCUCAGUUUCCAAGAAAACCCUUUGUAAACUAGUUUGUAGUGGAAGAGAAAUCAAUCAUAGUUCAACAUCACACAGAGAUAAAAAAGGAGUUCACAAUACUGUACGAUAGUUCUGCCGGAGAAGGAAGACACUGCU